Molecule: long non-coding RNA, 354 nt
Organism: Camponotus floridanus (Florida carpenter ant)
Lineage: Eukaryota; Metazoa; Arthropoda; Insecta; Hymenoptera; Formicidae
Exons: 3
Source: RefSeq, a predicted model, not a curated record
ACGUCUUUUUAUCGUUAGCAUUCGAAUCUUUUUGCUUAGUCGGCUAUGUGCGUGCUGAGUAUUCGUCUCCGUUUCUGUUUCGUCUUCUCGAGUCCGAUGCAUCACUCUUUGCGCCUUGCACCGCUUAAAGGGCUACUUGCAUUUGGUUUCCUUCGAGUCGACUUGCCUUGACGAGUUCACGUUCACUCUCUAAGACUAUGCACAAUCACUGAAGAAGACUCGAACUGAGUCCGAAACGUUUGAGGUCAAUAAAGAAGAAAGAUCGUUUAAUGUGAUCGUUUCAUGGAUUAUUUUUUUCUUCAAAAACACGCCUUACAACUGCGUUUGCUCUUUACAACAUUUUUACUUUUAAAA